Molecule: transfer RNA, 76 nt
Filed under: Treponema socranskii subsp. paredis ATCC 35535
Lineage: Bacteria; Pseudomonadati; Spirochaetota; Spirochaetia; Treponematales; Treponemataceae
Also listed under: 1 other name
Description: tRNA-Gln
Rfam family: tRNA
About the family: Transfer RNA (tRNA) molecules are approximately 80 nucleotides in length. Their secondary structure includes four short double-helical elements and three loops (D, anti-codon, and T loops). Further hydrogen bonds mediate the characteristic L-shaped molecular structure. tRNAs have two regions of fundamental functional importance: the anti-codon, which is responsible for specific mRNA codon recognition, and the 3' end, to which the tRNAs corresponding amino acid is attached (by aminoacyl-tRNA synthetases). tRNAs cope with the degeneracy of the genetic code in two manners: having more than one tRNA (with a specific anti-codon) for a particular amino acid; and 'wobble' base-pairing, i.e. permitting non-standard base-pairing at the 3rd anti-codon position.
Source: RNAcentral
UGGGACGUCGGCAAGCGGUAAGCCCCCGGCUUUUGGUGCCGGUAUUCCACAGGUUCGAAUCCUGUCGUCCCAGCGA